RNAcentral lists this ribosomal RNA (638 nucleotides) under uncultured Cantharellales. RNAcentral's name for it is "eukaryotic LSU rRNA". The stretch from base 197 to 350 matches the Rfam family "5.8S ribosomal RNA". Lineage: Eukaryota; Fungi; Basidiomycota; Agaricomycetes; Cantharellales. The record is from RNAcentral.
CCUGCGGAAGGAUCAUUANUGAGUUUAAAUGGGAGUUGAUGCUGGCCUUGACUGCAUGUGCUCGCUCCCAAAAUUCUGACCUUUAUACACCCGUGCACGCCUGAAGGUUUUUUGAGGCUUCUGUCUCGCCUNCGCUUUACACAAACCCUUUUCUAAUUAUUGAACGUGAUUGUGCCGAAAGGCCAUAAGCUCAUACAACUUUUAACAACGGAUCUCUUGGCUCUCGCAUCGAUGAAGAACGCAGCGAAUUGCGAUAAGUAAUGUGAAUUGCAGAAUUCAGUGAAUCAUCGAAUCUUUGAACGCACCUUGCGCUCCCUGGUAUUCCGGGGAGCACGCCUGUUCGAGUGUCGUGAAUACCUCAAGCUGGAUGCUUUAUUGCUAUCUUAGGCUUGGAUUUGGACCUUGCCGCGAGCCUUUGAUGGUGACGGCUGGUCUUAAANGUNUUANCUGGCCCAUGUUUGUGCACUUGGUUCUACUCGGCGUGAUAAGUUCAUGACCGUCGAGGGCAUCCUGCCUAACGGUGGGGUGGCCAAGAGUGCCGUGGAUCGCUUCUAAUCGUCUUCACCGACAGCUUUUUCAACUUUGACCUCGAAUCAGGUGGGACUACCCGCUGAACUUAAGCAUAUCAAUAAGCGGAG